GAUGAAGAACUUAGCGAAAUGCGAUAAGUAAUGUGAAUUGCAGAAUUCAGUGAAUCAUCGAAUCUUUGAACGCACAUUGCGCCCUAUGGUAUUCCGUAGGGCAUGCCUGUUCGAGCGUCAUUACAACCCUCAAGCUCUGCUUGGUAUUGGGCGUCGUCCCCUAAACGGACGUGCCUCAAAGACCUCGGCGGUGGCGUCUUUGCCUCAAGCGUAGUAAUAUUUUUAUCUCGCUUUGGAGUCGAAGGCGUCGCCCGCCGGACGAAACCUUUAUUUUUUCUAUCAAGGUUGACCUCGGAUCAGGUAGGGAUACCCGCUGAACUUAAGCAUAUCAAUAAGCGGAGGA
RNAcentral lists this unclassified non-coding RNA (343 nucleotides) under soil metagenome. RNAcentral's name for it is "partial contains 5.8S ribosomal RNA, internal transcribed spacer 2, and large subunit ribosomal RNA". The stretch from base 1 to 120 matches the Rfam family "5.8S ribosomal RNA", at positions 35 to 154 of the family's 154-position model. The record is from RNAcentral.